GAUAAAUCUUCGAGCUAUCUGCAGGUUCUGAUUUGAGCUCCUCCUCAAAGUGAGAGGAUGGAGUUUCCAUUCCCCUAGUGGCUGUGUGAUAUGGAGACCGUGUCAGAUGACUUUCUACUGUUGUGGCCACUGAGACCACUGUGGGAACUAGAUCUGCCUGGAGGGCCUGGUUCCAGCUUACACCGCCUAGUGCUGGCCCUCGAAAAUUCCACUUUGAGCAGACAUAAGCUGACUGACGGACUCAACAGGAAGCACCAGUAUUCUGACAGAGAUUUGGGCCCAGACUCCUAGAAUCAGCUGUUGCUCUAACUGCUUGGCCAACCACCAUAAAGGGACUAAGUCCUUUUAGGCACACUGUUAGAGGCCCCAGGCUUCACAAAAGUGUGGGCCUCCUUGUCCCAGAGACAUUCUGCGUGGGCCAGACCCAGUAUGUGGACUGAGAGGUUUCUUGCGGGUGCCCUCCCUCUGUGACAGGGCUGAACGAGGGUCCCCUUAAUACAGCGUGAAAUCGAUGAGAGGAGGCGGGACCCAGGCUAAGGAUUCAUUUUUCUUGUUGCCAUAUUUCUUUGCUCGUUACAGUUUCUUUAGACCCUAGAGCUCUUGUCGGCGACCCGUUUUCUGAAUGGAGACGUCGCUGAGCUUUGAAGUCAUAAUUUAUCCCGCAAGAGCUGCUCAAAGAGACGCUUUUGAGCUCGCAUCCGGGUGAGGGCUGGGAAUUGUAAGUCACCUCCCAGCACUUGGCCAAAUUGCAGAGGAGAGUCUCCUUACCUCAGGGAGUCAGUUUUAACUUAUUGCUUUUUCCUCGAGAUAGUUUUCUCAAACGUUUUCUCCCCCUCGCUUUCACUGCGUAUCCUAACUUAGCUUGUACAAUUUAGCUGUUCCUGAUUUAUUAACGGCAAGUAGUCAGCUGUGAGGUAACCCAUGACUUCCCUGUGAUUAACCAUCAAGCUCAAUAUGCGUUCUGAAACUUGGCUAUGGCAAGCCAAGGGAUGCACGAUGUUUUCCCCUCACUACUCAAAGACAAUCCUAUUCCAUAUAAAAGUCUUCAUCAGCCUCUGAGAUGGACAAGAAGGAGGCUUGACCCGAAUCUCUGUGCCUGGAUUCAAGUCACCCUCUUACAGGUGGAAGAGAAAUGUCUUCAACGUGCACGUUUGCAUAAUGAAACCCAUCUGACUGAGUAGAGCUAUACUGAGUGGCCGGCGCCUCUGGUGUCUCCCCCUCACCUCUUCUGUACCCUCCUACACACUCUCGAGAGACACAUAUGCGCACACUCUGUGCAAGUUACAGAAAAGAAAAAUAGUAAAAACGCAUCUCUGUCUCCAGAUGGUAUUCUUUUCUACCC
Non-coding RNA from Myodes glareolus (Bank vole), 1342 nucleotides. The record is from RefSeq and is a predicted model, not a curated record. NCBI's taxonomy places the organism in Eukaryota, Metazoa, Chordata, Mammalia, Rodentia, Cricetidae.